UGGUAGAGCUCAAGUUCUAUGUGAUUCUAG
RNAcentral lists this non-coding RNA (30 nucleotides) under Rattus norvegicus (Norway rat). The record is from RNAcentral. Lineage: Eukaryota; Metazoa; Chordata; Mammalia; Rodentia; Muridae.